AAGCAGAGGAUGCUGGGAGGGGCAGGGUUACAGCACACGGAGGUAUAAAAGCAGGAAGAUGAAGGAGCUUUGCCUGUGCGUCUAUCGUGCUGAAUGUUGUCAGUUGUAACCUGAGUUAAACACCUCUCCUGCCCUGACUGCUGCCCAGCUUUAUGUGGUUGUGUUGAAAUGGAUGCCAAAACGGACUUCUACCUUGCAGAAGAUAACUUUAAAACGUGUUGUAUUGAAUUUGUGAAACAUUCCCAAAAUAUUGCAGACGGGUGGGAAUGGAAAAGUUUACAGGGAACAGAUGAAGGCUACAUGUAUAAAGUCUGCUACCAUUCGAGGCCUAAAUGUAUAGUAUCAUCUGAAAGAAAAGAAACUGAUGAAGACGAAAGGGUGUCCAUUGUUAGUGAAACAGAUAUUUACAAUGAAGAUUUUGAUGUCUCUCAUGUACCUCAGCUUACACAAGAGACAGAGAUGAUUCACUAUGAGUACCAUGUCUUGUACUCGAUCAGUUACCAGGCUCCUGUGCUAUAUUUUAGGGCAAGCUUUCUAGAUGGAAAGCCUCUAACAUUGGAUGAGAUAUGGGAAAGGGUCCAUGACUGCUUCAGGUCGAGCCUUCUACAAGGACCAUGGGAGACAAUUACACAGCAAGAACAUCCAAUUUUGGGACAGCCAUUUUUUGUUCUUCAUCCUUGUCGGACCAAUGAAUUCAUGUCGUCACUGCAAGGAACCAGUGCCAGAAAUGGAAAUUACAUUAUUUCCUGGUUAAGUACAGUAGGACCUGUUGCUGGACUACAUCUGCCACUAAGUUAUGGAAAGAACGUGUAAAGGGUCUACAGCCAAGUCAUCUUCUGACAAGGAGCUCGGUCUUUCCAAGUCUGAAUCUGCUUGUGGAGUAAAACCUUGGGGUGAGCAACAACAGUGUCUGCUGGAUUAGUUCCAGCCAUUAUAUACUGCUUCAGACUGAUGGACUCUGCAUACUGACACAAGAGUAUGUUGUGGGGGUUGACAUGGAGCCUGCAGUUUUGGAGUCUAACAUCCCCAGAUAAUGGCUUUAAUCAGAAUGGAUACAAUGAAAUUGUAUCAUGAUGUCCUCUGAGUCAUGUCUUUUCUGUGCUCAAUUAAACAGAUUAUUUAGACGAGGGAUGCAAAACUGCUUAUGAACUGCCAUUAACAGCACCCUAUGUACAGUCAAAGGCCACAGGGGAUCUCGGAAUUUUUCAUCUGGAACAGCUGCCCAACCUAAUGGUCAAAGUCUUUAUGUAGCUCUGUAGCUGCUCCCAAACUGCAGCCCUCACCAUCAUAGGACUUGCAAUAAUCAAAACCAGUUGGAGAACUACAAGUUAUAUCUACACUUAAAGUUCUACGGAAAGAGUGACCCCUAAGCUUGGCUUUUCAACUGCCCAGAGCCAACUGAGCAUGUGCAGUGUCACUGACACUCAAAAGAGGCCUAACAAGAUCCAAGAUUGCGAGCUCUUGUGCACAACAUUGAAUUACCUGGAUCCUUAUUUGUUAUAGCAUCGCUGAACCUCUCUACUGGAAUAAUAGUGGCCUGCAAGCCGGCAGUGCUGGAGAAGUACAGCACAAUAUGGACACUAGCCAUUAACCCAAACAAAGUAAAGGUCAUGAUGUUCCAGAAACUAAAACAACUGUAUAUUGAGUGACACUAAUAGCUAUACCUACCUUGGCCUAGAAAUCAGCCAAUCAGGAAGCUUUAAACCAGCAAUAGCUGUCCUAAAAGACAAGGCAUGCAGGACCUUCUAUGUUAUGCCAUCAGAAGAAACCUCUACCACCUUAAACCACCAGUGUCAUCACCCCAAUCCUCGUCUAUGGUAGCAAAGUGUGAGAUCCUGUCACUAACCCAGACCAAUCCAGAUGGGACUCCAGCCCAACAGAAAUAUUCCAUCUGGAAUUCUGGAAGCACCUUCUCCAGGUCCAUCGGGGUACCUCAAGGUCUGCCUGUUGGACUGACCUGGGCAGAUUUCCCCUACUGAUCACCAUACAGAAGAGGACGCUCUCAUUCUGGGCACACUUACAGAACAGCAGUCCCAUGACCUACCAGCAUAAAGCCUGGCUGAACAACAAGACCAAUGGAAAACCAAACACCCUUAGACAACUCAUCAGCACCCUGCCCACCCAAGACUCCCGCCAAAUGACAAAAGGCCAAGUAACAAACAAACACAUCUAAAGAGCAAUACGUCUGUGAUUGUAGAAAGGAAAUAU
Molecule: RNA transcript, 2208 nt
Organism: Xenopus laevis (African clawed frog)
Lineage: Eukaryota; Metazoa; Chordata; Amphibia; Anura; Pipidae
Gene: atg10.L
Gene name: autophagy related 10 L homeolog
Exons: 10
Source: RefSeq, a predicted model, not a curated record